AGAGUUUGAUCAUGGCUCAGGAUAAACGCUGGCGGCGUGCCUAAUACAUGCAAGUCGAACGAGCAAUAACUAGCUUGCUAGUUGGCGCGAGUGGCGAACGGGUGAGUAAUACGUAAGCAACCUGCCUACAAGGACUGGGAUAACUCCUGGAAACGGGCGCUAAUACCGGAUAGGUAAUGAUAGGGCAUCCUAACAUUAUUAAAGGUUUGAAAUACAAGUAGAUGGGCUUACGGUGCAUUAGCUUGUUGGUGAGGUAACGGCCCACCAAGGCGAUGAUGCAUAGCCGGCCUGAGAGGGUGAACGGCCACAUUGGGACUGAGACACGGCCCAGACUCCUACGGGAGGCAGCAGUAGGGAAUUUUCGGCAAUGGGCGCAAGCCUGACCGAGCAACGCCGCGUGAGUGAUGAAUGUCUUCGGAUUGUAAAGCUCUGUUGUAAGGGAAGAACUGCCAGGAUAGAAUCUUGGAAUGACGGUACCUUACCAGAAAGCCACGGCUAACUACGUGCCAGCAGCCGCGGUAAUACGUAGGUGGCGAGCGUUAUCCGGAAUUAUUGGGCGUAAAGGGUGCGCAGGCGGCCUUUUAAGUUAAUGGUGAAAGCGUGGGGCUCAACCCCAUACAGCCAUUGAUACUGGGAGGCUAGAGUACUAGAGAGGGAAGUGGAAUUCCAUGUGUAGCGGUAAAAUGCGUAGAUAUAUGGAGGAACACCAGUGGCGAAGGCGGCUUCCUAGCUAGAAACUGACGCUCAGGCACGAAAGCGUGGGGAGCAAAUAGGAUUAGAUACCCUAGUAGUCCACGCUGUAAACGAUGAAUGCUAAGUGUUGGAGUAAUUCAGUGCUGCAGUUAACGCAAUAAGCAUUCCGCCUGUGGAGUAUGCACGCAAGUGUGAAACAUAAAGGGAUUGACGGGGGCCCGCACAGCGGUGGAGUAUG
RNAcentral lists this ribosomal RNA (931 nucleotides) under uncultured Bacillota bacterium. RNAcentral describes it as "bacterial SSU rRNA". It matches the Rfam family "Bacterial small subunit ribosomal RNA", at positions 8 to 941 of the family's 1533-position model. Lineage: Bacteria; Bacillati; Bacillota. The record is from RNAcentral.